RNAcentral lists this ribosomal RNA (421 nucleotides) under Stenotrophomonas maltophilia. RNAcentral describes it as "bacterial SSU rRNA". It matches the Rfam family "Bacterial small subunit ribosomal RNA", at positions 29 to 445 of the family's 1533-position model. Lineage: Bacteria; Pseudomonadati; Pseudomonadota; Gammaproteobacteria; Lysobacterales; Lysobacteraceae. The record is from RNAcentral.
AGUGAACGCUGGCGGUAGGCCUAACACAUGCAAGUCGAACGGCAGCACAGAGGAGCUUGCUCCUUGGGUGGCGAGUGGCGGACGGGUGAGGAAUACAUCGGAAUCUACUCUGUCGUGGGGGAUAACGUAGGGAAACUUACGCUAAUACCGCAUACGACCUACGGGUGAAAGCAGGGGAUCUUCGGACCUUGCGCGAUUGAAUGAGCCGAUGUCGGAUUAGCUAGUUGGCGGGGUAAAGGCCCACCAAGGCGACGAUCCGUAGCUGGUCUGAGAGGAUGAUCAGCCACACUGGAACUGAGACACGGUCCAGACUCCUACGGGAGGCAGCAGUGGGGAAUAUUGGACAAUGGGCGCAAGCCUGAUCCAGCCAUACCGCGUGGGUGAAGAAGGCCUUCGGGUUGUAAAGCCCUUUUUGUUGGGA